Molecule: small nucleolar RNA, 135 nt
Filed under: Ornithorhynchus anatinus (platypus)
Lineage: Eukaryota; Metazoa; Chordata; Mammalia; Monotremata; Ornithorhynchidae
Source: RNAcentral
CCCCUCUCAGGGCACCUGGAGAGUUUCCAGUCCUCUACCAGUCUCGGCUAUGGGAGGGAGAGUCGAGCAGAGCCAUACCCAUUCCAUUCCUAGCUUGGCCAGUGGCUAGCGAGUGGAAGGCCAUCUGCUACAAGU